RNAcentral lists this ribosomal RNA (300 nucleotides) under uncultured Streptomyces sp. RNAcentral's name for it is "partial 16S ribosomal RNA". The stretch from base 57 to 300 matches the Rfam family "Bacterial small subunit ribosomal RNA", at positions 552 to 795 of the family's 1533-position model. The record is from RNAcentral. Lineage: Bacteria; Bacillati; Actinomycetota; Actinomycetes; Kitasatosporales; Streptomycetaceae.
GAGCAUGGCGGGCCGGGAGGGGUGGGAAUAGGGGGGGGGCGGGGGUUAAGCGGGAGUACGGUGCGUAAAGGGGGCGUAGGCGUGUUGGUCAGGCAGCCGUGAAAGCCCCGGGCUUAACCUGGGAAUGGCGGUUGAGACGGCUGGAGUUGAGUGGGCUAGAGGAUCGUGGAAUUCCGGGUGUAGCGGUGAAAUGUGUAGAGAUCCGGAGGAACACCGAUGGCGAAGGCAGCGGUCUGGGGCCACACUGACGCUGAGGCACGACAGCGUGGGGAGCAAACAGGAUUAGAUACCCUAGUAGUC